GUGUCAGCAGCCGCGGUAAUACAGAGGGUGCAAGCGUUAAUCGGAAUUACUGGGCGUAAAGGGUGCGUAGGUGGUUACUUAAGUCAGAUGUGAAAUCCCAAGGCUUAACCUUGGAAUGGCAUAUGAAACUGAGUAGCUAGAGUACAGAAGAGGGAAGUGGAAUUUCCGGUGUAGCGGUGAAAUGCGUAGAUAUCGGAAGGAACACCAGUGGCGAAGGCGACUUCCUGGUCUGUUACUGACACUGAGGCACGAAAGCGUGGGGAGCGAACAGGAUUAGAAACCCCCGUAGUCC
RNAcentral lists this ribosomal RNA (292 nucleotides) under uncultured bacterium. RNAcentral's name for it is "partial 16S ribosomal RNA". It matches the Rfam family "Bacterial small subunit ribosomal RNA", at positions 505 to 796 of the family's 1533-position model. The record is from RNAcentral.